RNAcentral lists this ribosomal RNA (2415 nucleotides) under Triticum aestivum (bread wheat). RNAcentral's name for it is "partial small subunit ribosomal RNA". The record is from RNAcentral. Lineage: Eukaryota; Viridiplantae; Streptophyta; Magnoliopsida; Poales; Poaceae.
AUGUGGGACAAAUCUUCAAAUACAAGGAAAAUAACUUCUACAUCCACACCAACUUCUCUUUCCGUUGAGGUUGAGAGCAAUCUGCAGCUAACACUAGUGCAAAGACAUGGCGUUGAUGACGAAGCUCCGCAACUGGAGAGGGAGACAACUCCAACUGUAGAAGAUGAUGAAGCGGUCGAUGCAGAUGAUGAAUCAAUGCCCCAAUUUGAAGCAGAUUUGGCAGCUCUGGAACGUGAUCCCGGCAAGCGACUUCCCAUAUCUUCGUAUCAUGCCAAUGACCAAGAUAGAGUUAGAAGGAGAUACAUUGACUUGGGUGCUUGUCAACCAAAGGAUCAUAAGUUUGAGAUCAGAGAUUUUAGUGGACAUCCCCAUUGCUUUUGCCCUACUUGGUUUAAGGAUCAUAAGUGGCUUGAGUAUAGUGUGCAAGAAGAUGCUGCUUUCUGCUUUGUUUGCUACUUGUUCAAGGAUAAAACAAAAAGUCCUGGAGAAGAUGCAUUUGUGAACGGUGGGUUUAAUAAUUGGAAAUUGAAAGCUAGAUUGAAGAGGCAUAUUGGUGCUGUUAGUAGUGCUCACGUUGAAGCUCAAGAAAAGUAUGAUAUGUUCACUACACCUACAACAUCAAUUAGGGAGUCCAUUGCUUCAAACACCACACAGUAAAAGGUUCUAUAUAAGCUCUAUGUGACAUGGACACUCAAGUGUUUAAGAUUCCUAUUGCACCAAGGUUUGGCAUUUAGAGGACAUGAUGAAAGUGACGACUCACUAAAUAAAGGAAAUUUCCUUGUGCUUUUAAAUUGGCUAGCAGGAAACUUUGAAGAGGUUGAUAGGGUGGUUCUAAAGAAUGCUCCGCAAAAUUGUAAGAUGACUUGCCAUGAUAUACAACAAGAGUUGAUCAAAUGUUGUGCCCAGCUGACUACUAAACUAGUCAUUGAAGAUCUUGAUGGCGGUCAUUUUGCAGUACUUGCAGAUGAGUCUAGUGAUAUGUACCAGAAUGAACAACUAGUUGUUUGCUUGCGUUAUGUGGAUAAGAAAGGAAGGACAGUUGUGAGAUUUCUUGGUCUUGCCCAUGUUGAAGACACUUCCUCUUUGACACUUAAAGCUGCAAUUGAGGACAUGCUUAUGACAUACAAUUUGAGCUUUGCAAUGGUCCGUGGGCAAGGAUAUGAUGGGGCUAGUAAUAUGAAAGGUAAUGCUAAUGGCCUGAAGAAACUAAUUAUGGAUGAGUCUCCUCGUGCCUAUUAUGUCCAUUGCUUUACCCAUCAACUACAAUUAACUCUUGUUGCUGUUGCAAAGGAGAGUGGUGAUUGUAAUUGGUUCUUUCAACAGCUGGCAUGUUUGCUAAAUGUUCUAGGCUUUUCUUGUAAAAAGAUGAGAAUGCUUCAAAUAGUUCAAGUGGAGGAACUUAUUGUUGCAUUAGAGUUGGAAGAAGUAGAAACCGGGACGGGUUUGAAUCAAGAAAUGGGUAUUGGAAGGCCAUGUGAUACUCAUUGGGGCUCUCACUACAAGACUGUCAACCAUGUUAUCUCUAUGUAUCCGGCAAUAAGGCGUGUUCUAAUAAGGAUUGCAAAAGAGUAUAAUGGCACAGAGGCAGUAGCAGCAAUGACUAUGUUGACAUCAUUUCGGACAUUUGAAUUUGUUUUCAUGGCACACUUGAUGCAAGAAAUAUUUGAAUACACCGAUGACUUGAGUAGAGCUUUGCAAAAGAAAGAUCAAGAUAUUGUUAAUGCUAUGGAGAUUGUUGAUCUCACAAAGCUGCACUUGCAAUGCUUGCGAGAAGAUGAAGGGUGGAAUGAUUUUCUUGAAAAUGUCACUUUUUGUGUAAAGCACAAGAUCAAAGUUGUUGACAUGGAGGCUCCUUACUAUCCUGCUGGGAGACCAAGAAGAGGGUUCUUCAAUGGCGCAAAGAAUUACCAACGUUUCAAGGUUGAAAUGUUUGUGGGUGUCAUUGAUAGGCAACUUCAAGAGCUGAAUGCAAGAUUUGAUGGGGUAAACACUGAACUACUUACUUGCAUGGCAGCAUUCAGUCCACGUAAUUCAUUUGCUGCUUAUGAUAAAGAGAAGUUGGUUAGGCUUGCUAGAAAGUUUUAUGCUAAGGAUUUCACAAAUGAUGAAUUGUCAAGACUUCCAUGGCAAUUAAGCAUGUUCAUUUCUCAUGUGCGUAAGGAUAAAAGGUUUAGCAAGUUGAAGAAUCUAUGUGAGCUUUCAGAUUUGAUGGUUGAGACAAGAAAGGAUGAACAAUAUUAUAUUGUUUACAAACUUCUUAAGUUGGUUCUCAUUCUUCCUGUAGCCACUUCUAGCAUUGAGAGGGUAUUUUCCUCGAUGAAAUACGUGAAGAAUUCACUAAGAAACAAAAUGGGUGAUGAAUAUUUGAACAAUUGCUUGGUUACAUUCGUUGAGAGAGAAUUCUUCGGCAAGUGA